This 397-nucleotide ribosomal RNA is filed under the name uncultured microorganism. RNAcentral describes it as "bacterial SSU rRNA". It matches the Rfam family "Archaeal small subunit ribosomal RNA", at positions 330 to 735 of the family's 1478-position model. The record is from RNAcentral.
GCGCAGCAGUCGCGAACCUUGCAAUGCGCGAAGCGUGACAAGGUGACUCCGAGUGCUCAUGCGUAAGCAUGAGCUUUCCGAGUGUAAACAGCUCGGGGAAUAAGGGCCGGGCAAUACCCGUGCCAGCCGCCGCGGUAAUACGGGAGGCCCGAGUGGUGCCCGCGAUUACUGGGCUUAAAGCGUCCGUAGCCGGUCCGGUAAGUCCUUGGUGAAAGCCCAGGCUUAACCUGGGGAGGUGCCAAGGAUACUGCCGGUCUAGGGAGCGGGAGAGGCGAGGGGUACUCCGGGGUAGCGGUGAAAUGCGUUGAUCCUCGGGGACCACCGGUAGCGAAGGCGCCUCGCUGGAACGCGUCCGACGGUGAGGGACGAAGGCCAGGGGAGCGACCCGGAUUAGAUA